Molecule: long non-coding RNA, 990 nt
Filed under: Medicago truncatula (barrel medic)
Lineage: Eukaryota; Viridiplantae; Streptophyta; Magnoliopsida; Fabales; Fabaceae
Description: long non-coding RNA (MTRU_LNC007732)
Source: RNAcentral
AUAGAUUAUGACAAGAAACAACCCUCACUCUAAAAUUUUGCUGUCAAAAGAAAGCCUAUACAAAAAAGUGUAUCUGUAAUUCAACUUCAUUUAUUGGACACUUCACUUCACUGUAAAAAAAACACGUGUAUUUUUUCCCUCUCUUAUUGGGAAGUGUUGAGUAAAUAGAGAGACCAACCCCUUUUAAGUCAUAUAGUAUACAGAUUUCUACUUUUUAAGUAUAUAAAUGAUGUACUUUGGCAUCCACUAUGGGGAGAGGGAGGGGGAAUGGAGAUGAGAUAGAGAUUUGUCAUACUAAUAAUUUCUCCCUCCCUCUUAUCUUUAACUCCAACAACCAUGUAAAUCACUAAUUAAGUUUUGACAACUCUUAAUUAGUUUCUGAUUUCAAAUUUGUUUUCAAGAGUGAGAGAAGACCAUUCAAAUCCAGAACAGCUACCCAAUGGAGAAGAAAAGAUGCAUUCCAUUUCCAGCCUCCAUGAGCACACCAUCAUAUAAUCAUGCAUUAGCUAGUACUAGUAGUACUUUUUUUUCUUUCUUUCUUUCUUUAGGGGUAAGAAUUUCAUGUACCAUUACUAUUUACUACUACUACUAAUGGUCGAAAAUUAUCAUGUGCUCACUUCUCGAAACUCUGUCAGGGGAUUCAACCCAAUGAGAUAUAUAUAUUUAUCAACCUAUAACUAAUUUGAUAUCUGUAAUGGCCAAGAACUAUAUUGUUCUUCCUAGCUAUAUGCUAUUUUUAUAUGCGUUAAUCAGUUGCAUCUAGAGAUAUAUAAUGCUGUGUUUAUGCUUUAACAUAUUUAUGAGCAUGCUUUGAUCUUAGCUCAUUAUUUAAUUACACCUUCUAGACUACUUUUACUAAAUUUUUACCAAGAUGCAACAAAUUAAAUAAAAUUUUGCGUAUAACACUCGACUACAUAUUGAACUCUCAUUCUUAAUUUGCCACUGCAGCCGGUAUAAUUCGAUAUAAAUCGUUUGAUAUUUGGGUUAUAU